GGAAGGAAGGAGUACAGGCAGACAGGCCACCCCACCUCAACUUCAGGCUUCUACUGUAGAGCUCCCUGUUCCUUUUUGAAGCCAGCAGAAGCAGGCACAACACCUCUAAAAAGGGGGAAGGAAGGAGCACAGGCAGGCAGAGAGGCCAGCCCACCUCACCUUCAGGCUUCUACUGUAGAGCUCCCCUGUUCCUUUUUGAAGAAGCAGAAGCAGCACAACUCCUCUAAAAAGCUACUGAUGGCUACUCUAUGAUUGUGAGAACAGCGCAAAGAGGUAUCAGAUGAUAUUUUUAUAUCUGUUUGUACGUCGAGAAGUGUCAUUUCAUGAAUUUAUUUGUGCUUU
Molecule: non-coding RNA, 342 nt
Organism: Coturnix japonica (Japanese quail)
Lineage: Eukaryota; Metazoa; Chordata; Aves; Galliformes; Phasianidae
Source: RefSeq, a predicted model, not a curated record